AACGAACGCUGGCGGCAUGCCUAACACAUGCAAGUCGAACGAGAUCUUCGGGUCUAGUGGCGCACGGGUGCGUAACGCGUGGGAAUCUGCCCUUUGGCUCGGAAUAACAGUUGGAAACGACCGCUAAUACCGGAUGAUGACGAAAGUCCAAAGAUUUAUCGCCAGAGGAUGAGCCCGCGUAGGAUUAGCUAGUUGGUGUGGUAAAGGCGCACCAAGGCGACGAUCCUUAGCUGGUCUGAGAGGAUGAUCAGCCACACUGGGACUGAGACACGGCCCAGACUCCUACGGGAGGCAGCAGCGGGGAAUAUUGGACAAUGGGCGAAAGCCUGAUCCAGCAAUGCCGCGUGAGUGAUGAAGGCCUUAGGGUUGUAAAGCUCUUUUACCCGGGAUGAUAAUGACAGUACCGGGAGAAUAAGCUCCGGCUAACUCCGUGCCAGCAGCCGCCGUAA
RNAcentral lists this ribosomal RNA (449 nucleotides) under uncultured bacterium. Its description in RNAcentral is "partial 16S ribosomal RNA". It matches the Rfam family "Bacterial small subunit ribosomal RNA", at positions 29 to 523 of the family's 1533-position model. The record is from RNAcentral.